RNAcentral lists this ribosomal RNA (381 nucleotides) under Skeletonema marinoi. RNAcentral describes it as "partial Bacterial large subunit ribosomal RNA". It matches the Rfam family "Bacterial large subunit ribosomal RNA", at positions 2146 to 2538 of the family's 2925-position model. The record is from RNAcentral. Lineage: Eukaryota; Bacillariophyta; Thalassiosirophyceae; Thalassiosirales; Thalassiosiraceae.
GGUGGGAGACUUUGAAGCAGCAUCGCCAGGUGUUGUGGAGUCAACCUUGAAAUACCACCCUUUGUUUAUUUGAAGCCUAACCCCGCAAGGGGGACAGUGCUUGGUGGGUAGUUUGACUGGGGUGGUCGCCUCCAAAAGAGUAACGGAGGCUUCUAAAGGUGCCCUCAGCACGCUUGGUAACCGUGCGUAGAGUGCAAUGGCAUAAGGGCGCUUAACUGUGAGACCUACAAGUCGAUCAGGUGCGAAAGCAGAGCAUAGUGAUCCGGUGGUUCCGUAUGGAAGGGCCAUCGCUCAAAGGAUAAAAGGUACUCCGGGGAUAACAGGCUGAUACCGCCCAAGAGUUCAUAUCGACGGCGGUGUUUGGCACCUCGAUGUCGGCUC